UGAGGAAUAUUGGUCAAUGGGCGAGAGCCUGAACCAGCCACGUCGCGUGAAGGAAGACUGACCUUACGGUUUGUAAACUUCUUUUGUAGAGGGGUAAUGGCAGAUACGUGUAUUUGCGUGAAAGUACUCUACGAAUAAGCAUCGGCUAACUCCGUGCCAGCAGCCGCGGUAAUACGGGGGAUGCGAGCGUUAUCCGGAAUUAUUGGGUUUAAAGGGUGCGCAGGUGGCUAAUCAGGUCAGUGGUGAAAAGCUAUGGCUCAACCAUGGUCUUGCCAUUGAAACCGUAUAGCUAGAGAGGAGACGAGGUAGGCGGAAUGUGUGGUGUAGCGAUGAAAUGCAUAGAUAUCACACAGAACUCCGAUUGCGAAGGCAGCUUACCAGGCUUUAUCUGACACUUAGGCACGACAGCGUGGGGAUCAAACAGG
This 425-nucleotide ribosomal RNA is filed under the name Verrucomicrobiota bacterium. RNAcentral's name for it is "Verrucomicrobia bacterium partial 16S ribosomal RNA". It matches the Rfam family "Bacterial small subunit ribosomal RNA", at positions 355 to 776 of the family's 1533-position model. The record is from RNAcentral. Lineage: Bacteria; Pseudomonadati; Verrucomicrobiota.